Molecule: non-coding RNA, 1495 nt
Organism: Bactrocera oleae (olive fruit fly)
Lineage: Eukaryota; Metazoa; Arthropoda; Insecta; Diptera; Tephritidae
Source: RefSeq, a predicted model, not a curated record
AAAUAACUCAGAAGAAGGCUGAUGUAUGGUCAAUAUGACUGUUUUGCCUUUCUGCGAUAGCUUCUUUAGUACUUGUACGACGCUGUGUGCCAUAAAUGAGUCCAAACCUGAUGUAGGUUCAUCACAAAUCAAUAGUGGGGGAUCCGUUAGCGCCUCCGAAGCAAAUGCCAAGCGUUUACGUUCGCCACCGGAUAAGCCUUUCACACGACCCGGCACGCCAAUCAAAGUAUUUUGGCAUUUGCCCAGCGAGAGAUCUUGAAUAACCUGAUCCACACGUUGUAUCUUUUGCUUUUUCGUCGUAUGCCUUGGCAUACGCACCAUUGCCUGAAAGAUGAGAUGCUCUCGUGCGGUGAGCGAACCAAUGAAUAGAUCAUCCUGUUGAACAUAAGCACAACGUGCUUGCAUUUCCUUGGCAUCAAUGGGAUGACCGUUGAGCAAGCGUACGGUAGAUGGAGAUAUUUGAAUAUCUUUCGAUGAGCGAAAGGCAAUCGCAUUCAGAAGUGUGGUUUUACCGGCACCAGAGCUGCCCAUGAUCGCUAGCAAUUCACCCGGAUAAGCGACGCCGGAAACUGGAAAGCAAAUUGAGCAGUUUGAGAGUAUGUUUACGCGGCGCAGGAAUAUGACGCUCAUUGCAUAAAACCCCUUUUACACGAUUCAGCAGUUGUUUCCAGCCCGAACCCGGUUGAUGGACAGCACCGAACACAUCCAAAUUAUACCAAGAGUAGGUGAGAUUAUCCGCGUGUUCCGUGCAUUUCCGCGCAGUACCACGGUCAGGAACUUCUUAAGGGCACUUAAGAGUGUGACCUCAACUCAAAAAAUCUUGGGACAACUUGCGUGAUUUUUCAACCAUACAGUCUACUGGUAGAUAUACCAAAAACCGGCGGAAGUGGCACAACAAACGACGGUAACACUGCACGUAGAUUUUUCGAAGAUACAUUAAAAUCGUCUGAAAUAACCGGGAUUGAUGAGAAUUUAAUUAGAAGAUUCAAAGUUAUUCUUCAGACUCUGGCUUGUGGAUUCGCUAUGAAUGCAAAUGCAUACGAACAAUAUGCUCUUGAAACUGCUAGACUUUUUGUUGAAAAAUAUGGUUGGUAUAAAAUGCCCGCGUCUGUUCACAAAAUCCUUCUACACGGUGCUGUCAUAAUUUCAAACUCAAUUUUGCCAAUCGGGAAGUUAUCAGAAGAAGCACAGGAGUCAGGUAACAAAAAUUAUAAAAUGUACAGGCUAAGUCACACAAGGAAGUUUUCACGAACUCAUACAAACCAAGAUUUAUUAAAUAUUCUUCUUGUCUCAUCAUAUCCUUUAAUUUCGAGCUUACAAAAAACUCCAAGAAAAAAAUCUAAAUCAUUUUCAGCUGAUGUCAUUGCUCUUUUGAAAAUGCCUGAUAUUCCACAAACUAUCACACAAAACGAAGAAUCGGAAAACGAUGAAACCUCAGAUGAGGAAUAUAACAAAGUUUAUUAAAAUUUAAAAAAUUUUAAAAAUUUAGAAAAUU